GCUUGAACCGGUGGCGCGUUUGUAUAGUCCCACCUAUUUGGGAGGCUGAGGCUGGAGGAUCUAUUGAGUCCAGGAGUUCUGGGCUGUAGUGCGCUAUGCGAUCAGGUGUCCGCACUAAGUUCGGCAUCAAUAUGGUGACCUCCCAGGAGCAGGGGACCACCAGGUUGCCUAAGGAGGGGUGAACCAGUCCAGGUUGGAAACAGAGCAGGUCAAAACUCCCGUGCUGAUAAGUAAUGGGAUCUUGCCUGUGAAUAGCCACUGCACUCCAGCCUGGGCAACAUAGCAAGACCCCGUCUCU
RNAcentral lists this signal recognition particle RNA (298 nucleotides) under Saimiri boliviensis boliviensis (Bolivian squirrel monkey). RNAcentral describes it as "Metazoan signal recognition particle RNA (ENSSBOG00000006766.1)". It matches the Rfam family "Metazoan signal recognition particle RNA". From Rfam's summary of the family: The signal recognition particle (SRP) is a universally conserved ribonucleoprotein. It is involved in the co-translational targeting of proteins to membranes. The record is from RNAcentral. Lineage: Eukaryota; Metazoa; Chordata; Mammalia; Primates; Cebidae.